CAGUGUCCCAAUAAAACUUUAUUUAUGGACACUGACAUUUGAAAUUCAUAUAAUUUUCACGAGUCGUGAAAUAUUCUUCUUUGGUCCUUUCCCCCCCGCCCCACCAAUCCUCUAAAAGUGUAAGAACUAUUCUCAGCUCAUGGGCCAUGCAAAAAUAGGCAGCUGGUUGGAUCUCACUUGUGGGCUGUGGUUUGCCAACCCUCCUUUAGAGCUGGUUCUGCUGUUUAUCAAGUGUGUAAUCUUGGAUAGGUUCCCUGGAUAAACCUCAGUGUCCUCAGCUACAAGACGCGAAAAGUAAGGAGGAGUUCCUCCGUCAGGGACUGGGGGAUGCGAUGGAGUAACUGUGAAGUGUUUAGCAUGAUACUUACGUAGAUCACUCUUGGGAGUGGGAGGUGUCAUGAUAAGAUGAUGCUGAGUCCCUUGAAGUUGUUUGUCCUCCCAAAAUAUACUGAUAGGGGGUGCUUGUCACUGUGUAACAACCUCAGCCUUUUUUGCACUUGGUGCUAGUGAAAAGUUGAGGGAAAAUCCAACCAUGCCCACAGGACAGAAAUACUUUUUUUUUUUUUAAACCAAAGAAAAGCCUUUUUACAAAAUAGCAACUCAUCAGGGAAAAGAAAUGUCCGAACUAAAUGAGAGCAGGCUGCACGUUGGACCUGCUGACAUGAAGCCAGGGCAAGGUGCUUCCCCACUCUGGCCUGCGUUUCCUCCUCUGCAUAAGGAGAAUUUUGGAUUUGGUCCUCUCCCGGGUCAGUCCACCUCUAACACUCUGUCAUGCCAGGUGAUAACCAAAAUAUCUAGAUCCAGCAUUCAUGUCUGCAAUGUUCUUGCUUUGCUAGCAAGGCCCCUGCCACCAAGAGGAGAUCACACGUUUUCUAGAUGUCCUUUUUUACCUCCCCACAGGGUCACUGGGGCUUCCCUGUAGGUGAGGUCCUUGGGCAAGUCUACCUCUCUACACCUCAGUUUCCUCAUCUGUGAAAUGGGGAUAAUAACAAUGGUCUCAACAGCACGGGGUUGAGGGGAAAACGAAAUAGGAUGCUAGGUGCAAAGUGCAUAGCAUGGGACAAGAACUUUGCCAAAGUCAACGAAGAGCUCAGUGUUCUGCAUUGGUGCCCGCCUCCAUGCUCAGGUCCUCAAGAGACCCGUGACGGUCUUCCCUUGAUCUUGGCUUUGGUGUUGGUGAUGGCGGUAAGGAAUCAUCUAGUAGCCAAGUAGGACCUUUUAUUCCUGAGGACUAAUGAGACUGUGAACUUUGUGAAUCCUCCACUCCUAGCAGCCAGAAGACUCAGCCCAGGCCAGAGGUCGUGGUCUGUGGGGCUCUGGUGGUCAGCAGAAGAGGCCAGGAUAGAGCGAGACGGACAAUGACCACGAGCACAGAAAGCUGCAGAGGAGCAGGAUCCAGAAGCAGAAGCUUGUGACUUGGCACCUGUUUCCGGAACCCACUAUGGCCCAACCUUCUCAGAAGAUUUUGCACCUUGAGCCAAAGAGGAUGCAGGGCUCUUGGGACCCAAGAGCCUGAGUAGGGCUUCUGCCCUCCCUCUCCGGCCUGAAGUUUCCCAUUCAUCAGCUGGAACCUUCACACCUGCCCAGAGGACUGCUGACUCGCACUGACGGUGGCCACAAGAAUUCAGAUGUGAUGGCUGCAGCUUAAGCAGCCAUCAUGGACCAUGAAGUAGACACACUAAACCUGCUGCAGGAGCAAGAUGGAAGGAGUCUGGACCUCUGACAAUGACAGUUUCACAAAACUUUUCCUGGGGUGUACGCCUCCAGACACCUCUUAUUCCUGAGAGGCAGAUAAACUGCUCCCUUUUAAAGCCACUGUUGUUUUGAGUUGAUCUGUUACACAUAGUCAAACCUGAUCCAAACUCAAAAAUAAAAGAAAAAGCAAAAAAACCUGAUCCAAACUGAUUCAAGUCCCUGCUGUGUGACAGACACUCUUCGAGGUUGUGGUGACCCAGCAGUGAGGAUAGGAUGGUCACCAGCACAGUGACCAUAGUGCCUGCCCUGUACAGCCACAUUCCAGUGGAGAGAAAGCUAUAUAUGAGGAAACAGUAAUUUUAUGAAAUAAUUGGUGGCAUGAAAUAAAACAGGUGAUAUUGAGUGAGACACAGUUCUGAGACUGUCUCAUUUAUUAACUAAUCUAAUCUUCAUAUCAAUUCUGUGAGGUGGUGACAAUUAUCAUACCCAUUUUACAGAUGAAAAAGGAGGCCCAGUGGGUAGGUAACGCAUAAGGACACAUGCCAAUGAGCAGAGGAAGCAGCAUGUGACUCCCAACACUCAGCCUCCAGAGCUCACCCUCCUAGCAGCUUCCCCAACUGCUUCCAUAGCAGGGUAGAGAGAGGAACCACUUCCCAGGAACUGUGGCCUGACCAGUGCUGGGCCCUCUAACUGACAUCAGUAGUCUUUUUUUUCUUUUUUUUUUUUCUUU
This 2425-nucleotide long non-coding RNA is filed under the name Homo sapiens (human). RNAcentral's name for it is "HSALNT0318743". The record is from RNAcentral. Lineage: Eukaryota; Metazoa; Chordata; Mammalia; Primates; Hominidae.